CCCUCUCUCCUUCUGGGUGCCCCUGAAAAUGGUUUCUUAGCACCUGAAGAACUUGAAGAACCAGGGUCUUGGAUUUUUCCCACUUUGAUAAGACUUUCAGUUCUUUCUCCGCAAAUUACAACAUCCGAAAAACUACCAAACAGACAACUUCCCAUACGAUCCAUGAAAACACCUUGCAAGGUUCCAAUGAACAUAUCAGUCAAUUCUCUCUCCAACAUCGGAGGUUGUACUCUCGCAGCUAGUUCACGCCACCU
RNAcentral lists this long non-coding RNA (254 nucleotides) under Lathyrus oleraceus (garden pea). Its description in RNAcentral is "Pisum sativum (pea) long non-coding RNA (PSAT_LNC027803)". Lineage: Eukaryota; Viridiplantae; Streptophyta; Magnoliopsida; Fabales; Fabaceae. The record is from RNAcentral.